AUUGAACGCUGGCGGCAGGCCUAACACAUGCAAGUCGAACGAGUGGCGGACGGGUGAGUAAUGUCUGGGAAACUGCCUGAUGGAGGGGGAUAACUACUGGAAACGGUAGCUAAUACCGCAUACCAUCAGAUGUGCCCAUAUGGGUGUAGCUAGGUGGUGGGGUAACGGCUCACCAAGGCGACGAUCCCUAGCUGGUCUGAGAGGAUGACCAGCCAAACUGGAACUGAGCCACGGUCCCAACUCCUACGGGAGGGAGCAGUGGGGAAUAUUGCACAAUGGGGGCAAGCCUUAUGCAGCCAUGCCGCGUGUAUGAAGAAGGCCUUCGGGUUGUAAAGUACUUUCAGCGGGGCGGCGUUACCCGCAGAAGAAGCACCGGCUAACUCCGUGCCAGCAGCCGCGGUAAUUC
Molecule: ribosomal RNA, 406 nt
Filed under: uncultured bacterium
Lineage: Bacteria
Description: partial 16S ribosomal RNA
Rfam family: Bacterial small subunit ribosomal RNA
Source: RNAcentral